AUUGAACGCUGGCGGCAGGCCUAACACAUGCAAGUCGAACGAGUGGCGGACGGGUGAGUAAUGUCUGGGAAACUGCCCGAUGGAGGGGGAUAACUACUGGACACGGUAGCUAAUACCGCAUACCCUCGGAUGUGCCCAGCUGGGAUUAGCUUGUAGGUGAGGUAACGGCUCACCUAGGCGCCGAUCCCUCGCUGGUCUGAGAGGAUGACCAGCAAAACUGGAACUGAGCCACGGGCCAGACUCGUACGGGAGGCAGCAGUGGGGAAUAUUGCACAAGGGGCGAAAGCCUGAUGCAGCCAUGCCGCGUGUAUGAAGAAGGCCUUCGGGUUGGAAAGGACUUUCAGCGGGGAGGCGUUACCCGCAGAAGAAGCACCGGCUAACUCCGUGCCAGCCGCCGCGGUAAUAC
This 406-nucleotide ribosomal RNA is filed under the name uncultured bacterium. RNAcentral describes it as "partial 16S ribosomal RNA". It matches the Rfam family "Bacterial small subunit ribosomal RNA", at positions 29 to 526 of the family's 1533-position model. The record is from RNAcentral.